RNAcentral lists this ribosomal RNA (397 nucleotides) under uncultured bacterium. Its description in RNAcentral is "bacterial SSU rRNA". It matches the Rfam family "Bacterial small subunit ribosomal RNA", at positions 64 to 507 of the family's 1533-position model. The record is from RNAcentral.
GAGCGCCGUAGCAAUACGGAGCGGCAGACGGGAGAGUAACACGUGGGAACGUGCCCUUUGGUUCGGAACAACCCAGGGAAACUUGGGCUAAUACCGGAUAAGCCCUUACGGGGAAAGAUUUAUCGCCGAAAGAUCGGCCCGCGUCUGAUUAGCUAGUUGGUGAGGUAAUGGCUCACCAAGGCGACGAUCAGUAGCUGGUCUGAGAGGAUGAUCAGCCACAUUGGGACUGAGACACGGCCCAAACUCCUACGGGAGGCAGCAGUGGGGAAUAUUGGACAAUGGGCGCAAGCCUGAUCCAGCCAUGCCGCGUGAGUGAUGAAGGCCCUAGGGUUGUAAAGCUCUUUUGUGCGGGAAGAUAAUGACGGUACCGCAAGAAUAAGCCCCGGCUAACUUCGUG